AAUACUAACUACACAAGAUAUAGUUCUUACGAGCUGUCUUAUAAACGUCCUCUGUACAACUAAUUGGACGUUUUUUUCAUUGACAGUCUAAUUUGCUAAAAUUAAAAGGAUAAUACUUAUAUGGAUUAAAAGACAUUCAUUAAUAUCAAAAGGACUAUGAGUACGCACCAAUAUUGUCUUGGAUUGGAGCGAAGAAGAAACGUUGUUUUCUUCGUUCUUCUAAUGGUUUCCGUGUAUGUUUACAUCAAGUUUCCAUUUCGGCAGUUAAUGAAAAUUACUGAACCAGGAAAAAUAGAUACAGGAAAAAACAACACAGAAAAAACAGCAAUAGAAAAUAAUUUAUAUGUAAAUAAAAAGAUACAAAAAGAAACAGAGAACUGCUCUGAAUUUAUUCAGAGUAAUUUAGAUCUACAAGUGACACAUAAUUUUUUACAAUCAUUAAAGUUGUUUAUCGUCUGUAAACGAAAGGUAAAUACAACUUUUAAUGAGAUAAUUUUUGACAUAGUUGGUGGGUUAAAGUGCGAUCCACAUGCAACCCUCUCUAAGAUAAGGAAACCACUUAUAGCUCUUGCUAGUUUUCCGGGUUCAGGAAAUACAAUGACAAGACGGAUCAUAGAAAUACUUACAGAAAAAAUGUAAGACGGACACUUUUCACACAUCUAAGAAAUUCUUAAUACCUACUGGAGUCAUAAUGCAAUGUCGCUUGGAAGAAGUUCGUGCAAAUUCAAGCGCCUCGUUGGAAAGAUAUGACUGUUUUUUGGCUGAAAAAGUUUAAAUAUCCAGUACAUAUUUUAGUAUAUGAAGAAAUGACAAGAAAUCGUAUGGACGAAGCUUUGAAACUUAGUUCAUUUUUACAUGUGAAUUCUACAUUAAACAUGUUGACUUGUACUUACAGUCAGUAUGUGGAAGAAAAAAAGAGAAGCUAUCCUCAUUCUUUAACAAGGAAAACAUUAUAUGACAUAUAUGACAUGAACCAGAUAGCAGAUAUAAACAAAGCUAUUUUACAAACACUUGAAAUAACACAGCUUAAUGUCUUACAUGACUACAUCUUACCAUAAAAUAAUAA
Molecule: long non-coding RNA, 1066 nt
Organism: Ruditapes philippinarum (Manila clam)
Lineage: Eukaryota; Metazoa; Mollusca; Bivalvia; Venerida; Veneridae
Exons: 3
Source: RefSeq, a predicted model, not a curated record